UUUCCGUAGGUGAACCUGCGGAAGGAUCAUUAACGAGUAAGGGUCCUCCUGGCACCACCUCCAACCCUCUUUUAAAUUAAUAAGUUGCUAUGGCGGGCCCGUUUCACGAACCCCGGAAUUCCUAGGACUUCUCGCCCGUGCCCGCCAAUAGCCUUCUACAAACUCUUGAUCAAUUGUGAUGUCUGAGUAAUAAAUUUAAUAGUUAAAACUUUCAACAACGGAUCUCUUGGUUCUG
RNAcentral lists this unclassified non-coding RNA (235 nucleotides) under plant metagenome. RNAcentral's name for it is "partial contains small subunit ribosomal RNA, internal transcribed spacer 1, and 5.8S ribosomal RNA". The record is from RNAcentral.